RNAcentral lists this long non-coding RNA (1372 nucleotides) under Equus caballus (horse). RNAcentral's name for it is "lncRNA (ENSECAG00000055566.1)". Lineage: Eukaryota; Metazoa; Chordata; Mammalia; Perissodactyla; Equidae. The record is from RNAcentral.
GGCCGGAAACAAAAACGCAGAGAGCUACCUGUUGCCUUUGCCAAUAAAUUGGAUUCUCCUUUCCCCCUCUUAAUUUUGGUACAAUUUUAUUGAGACGCAAUUGAAGUACAGUAAAAUGCACGUUUGAACUGUAUGAUUUGAUCAGUCUUGAUAUGUGUAUACACCUCUGUAACCACCACAAUCAAUAUAACAAAUAUUUCAAUCAUUCUCAAAAGUUUCCUUGUUUCCCUUUGUAAUCCAUCUCUCCCUCUACCACUUUCCACAGGCAGCCACUGAUCUGCUUUCUGUCACUAUAGAUUACUCUGUUUUCUAGAAUUCUAUAUAAAUGAAAUUAAUGUGUACUCCUUUUUGACCAAAUUUUCAUUCCGCAUAAUGAUUUUUAGAUUCGUCCGUGUUGUUUCCUGUCUUCCUAGUUCCUUCUUUUUUAUUGCCAAAUUGUAUUCCUUUGUAUAGGUAUAUAACAAUUUAUACCAUUUACUUGUUAACGGAUUUUUGGGUUGAUUCCAGCUUGGGGCUAUUACAAAUAAAGCUGUGAGGAACAUUUGUGCACAGGUCUUUGUGUGGGUAAAUGUCUUUGUUUCUCUUGGACAAAUACUUAGGAGUGGAAUGCCUUAGUUUUGUGGUAGGCAUAUAUUUAACUUUUUUAGAAAUUGCAAAAAUAUAUUUCAAACUGGUUGUACCAUUUUACAUUCCUACCAGCAAAGUAUGAGAGUUUCGGUUGCUCCAUAUCCUCUCUGUCAUUUGGCAAGCUCAGGCUUUAAAAUUUUAGCCAAUCUAAUAUAUAUGUAAUGGUAUCUCAUUGUGGCUUUCAUUUGAAUUUUCCUGAGGACUAAUGAUGUUGAGCACCUUUUCUGUGCUUAUUGGACAGGUGUAUAUGUUCUUUGAGGAAGUAUCUAUUCAAAUAGUUUGUCCAUUUAAAAAAUCGAGUUUUUGGGCUUAUUAUUGAGUUGUAAGAGUUUUUUUUAUAAGUUCCAUAUAAAAGUCCUUUUUAUAUGUUGUGAAUAUUUUCUCCCAGUCUGUGGCUUGCCUUUUCACCUUCUUAAUGAUGCCUUAUGAAGAAGAAAAGAUUUUGAUUUUGAUCAAGUUCGAUUUUCUAUUUUUUGUUUAUGAUUUGUGAUUUUGGUGUCCCAUCUAGGAAACCUUUGCCUACUCCAAGGUUGCAAAGAUUCUCUCCUAUGCUUUCUUCUAGAAGUUUAUGGGUUCGGGUUUAUAUAUAGGUCAAUAAUCUAGUUUGAGUUAAUUUUUGGGUAUGAUGUGAAAUAAGUCUAGAUGUUGAAUGUUUCCAAACAGAUAUUUAGUUUGUCUAGCACUAUUUAUUGAAAUGACUUUCCCUUCUGAAUUGGCACCUUUGUAAAUAAAGUCAAUUGACAUA